ACCUAUGAUGUAUCGCCCAACAUUUGGAGGUGCAGAUUGGCUGCAGGAUCCUGUUUACAGGAUGAACCUACCUGUAGCCGCUGCAUCCACAUGACAUUCACGGGCAAGUCUGAGGU
This 116-nucleotide small nucleolar RNA is filed under the name Brachypodium distachyon (stiff brome). RNAcentral describes it as "snoRNA snoZ278". It matches the Rfam family "Small nucleolar RNA Z278". Rfam says of the family: snoZ278 is a C/D box small nucleolar RNA. Its methylation guide targets have not been reported. The record is from Rfam by way of RNAcentral. Lineage: Eukaryota; Viridiplantae; Streptophyta; Magnoliopsida; Poales; Poaceae.